UAGGGAAUUUUCCACAAUGGACGCAAGUCUGAUGGAGCAACGCCGCGUGAGUGAAGAAGGUCUUCGGAUCGUAAAACUCUGUUGUUAGAGAAGAACACGAGUGAGAGUAACUGUUCAUUCGAUGACGGUAUCUAACCAGCAAGUCACGGCUAACUACGUGCCAG
This 164-nucleotide ribosomal RNA is filed under the name uncultured bacterium. RNAcentral's name for it is "partial 16S rRNA". It matches the Rfam family "Bacterial small subunit ribosomal RNA", at positions 355 to 511 of the family's 1533-position model. The record is from RNAcentral.